GAGGCGGGGCGUUGCGGCCGCCGUGCCAGGGUGACCGGUUUCGCUGUAUUCGAGGUGGCGGGGCGGGCGGAAAGAGCAGGGAGGAGGCCGUGGUGCAGGAUGGCGGCAACAACCUACGAGCGGCUGAAGCUGCAUAUCACACCUGACAAAUUCUAUGUGGAAGCUUGUGAUGAUGGAGCAGAUGAUGUACUUAUCAUCGACCGUGUGUCCACAGAAGUUACACUCUCAGUCAAGAAAGAUAUUCCUCCUUCAGCUGUCACAAGACCAAUAUUUGGUAUACUGGGCACAAUUCAUCUGGUGGCAGGUAAUUAUCUAAUUGUCAUUACCAAAAAGAAAAAAAUAGGUGAAUUUUUCAAUCAUGUAAUCUGGAAAGCAAUAGAUUUUGAUGUCCUUUCUUAUAAGAAGACAAUGUUGCACUUAACUGAUAUUCAGUUACAAGAUAACAAAACUUUCCUAGCAAUGAUAAACCAUGUCUUGAGUGUGGAUGGAUUUUAUUUUUCAACAACAUAUGAUUUGACCCAUACUUUGCAGCGGCUGUCUAACACUAGUCCAGAAUUCCAGGAAAUGAGUCUCUUGGAAAGGGCAGACCAGCGGUUUGUAUGGAAUGGUCAUCUUCUAAGAGAACUUUCUGCUCAGCCAGAGGUCCAUCGGUUUGCUCUUCCGGUAUUAUAUGGCUUUAUUACUAUGCACUCAUGUUCUAUUAAUGGAAAAUACUUUGAUUGGAUUCUCAUCUCGAGGAGGAGUUGUUUCAGAGCUGGUGUCCGCUAUUAUGUAAGAGGAAUUGAUUCUGAAGGCCAUGCAGCUAACUUUGUAGAAACAGAACAAAUUGUGCACUACAAUGGGAGCAGAGCUUCAUUUGUACAGACUCGAGGAUCAAUACCACUUUACUGGUCUCAAAGACCAAAUCUCAAGUACAAACCACUGCCACUGAUCAACAAAGUAGCAAAUCAUAUGGAUGGUUUCCAAAGGCAUUUUGAUUCACAAAUAAUUAUUUAUGGAAAACAAGUCAUAAUCAAUCUGGUUAAUCAGAAGGGCUCAGAGAAGCCACUUGAACAGGCGUUUGCAACAAUGGUGUCUUCCUUGGCAAAUGGAAUGAUCAGAUAUAUUGCCUUUGACUUCCAUAAGGAAUGUAAAAAUAUGAGAUGGGAUCGACUAAGUAUUUUAUUGGAUCAAGUAGCAGAAAUGCAAGAUGAAUUAAGUUAUUUUCUAGUGGACUCUGACGGCAAGGUGGUGACUAACCAGGAAGGCGUGUUCCGCAGCAAUUGCAUGGAUUGUCUGGACAGAACUAAUGUGAUCCAGAGUCUGUUAGCUCGUCGUUCGCUUCAGGCCCAGCUUCAGAGACUAGGAGUUUUGCAUGUGGGACAAAAGCUUGAAGAACAAGAUGAAUUUGAGAAGAUUUACAAAAACGCCUGGGCUGACAAUGCAAAUGCUUGUGCCAAACAGUAUGCGGGAACUGGUGCCUUGAAGACUGACUUUACCAGAACUGGGAAGAGAACUCAGUUGGGACUUAUAAUGGAUGGCUGGAACUCACUGAUACGGUAUUACAAGAACAACUUUUCUGAUGGAUUUAGACAAGAUUCCAUAGACUUAUUUCUUGGGAACUAUUCAGUGGAUGAAUUAGAAUCUCAUAGUCCUUUAAGUGUUCCAAGGGAUUUGAAAUUCCUGGCUUUGCCUAUUAUCAUGGUUGUCGCCUUUUCCAUGUGCAUUAUCUGUUUGCUUAUGGCUGGUGACACCUGGACAGAAACACUGGCAUAUGUGCUCUUCUGGGGAGUUGCAAGCAUUGGAACAUUUUUUAUUAUUCUUUACAAUGGCAAAGAUUUUGUUGAUGCUCCCAGAUUGGUCCAGAAAGAAAAGAUAGACUGAAUUUGUGUCUGUGGAAAGCGGCUUGGCUUGGAAGAUUCCAUUAUGCAGAACUGGAGUCUUUACUGACCCGCUUUCCACGUCAGCCCAAGGGUCUGCUGCAGCUCUGCUACAUGAUGUCUGCAUCCUGGGACCCAGAGUGACGGAACAGCUUCACACAGGAACAUUACCAGUUGUCCUGGCAGAAAGAAAAGGGAGAAGUUUCUGUUGAAGAUGGCACUGACAGAGGUCACUCAGUGAUACUCAGCUGACAGAGGGGCUGGUCUCUGGUCUGCGCUGGUUUGGUGCUGCACAAGGGUGGCUGGAAGGUGGACCAGCUGGUUCUGUGAGCUGGAGCACCUCCAUGUGGCUUUGCAGCACGGCAGCCUCAAGGUCGUAGGACUUCAUACCUGGUUGGCUCACGGCGGCCGGAGUGAGAGUUCCAGCAAACCAGGUGGAAGCUUGCAUGGUAUGAUCUAGCCUCUAACAUCCAGUGGUGUCCCUUCCGCCAUAUUCUAUUGGUUGGAGCACUCACAAACCCACUCAGAUUCAGGGGGAGGGACACAGACCCCCUCUCUCAAUGAGAAAGAUGGAAAAGAACCUGUGGCCCUGUCUGGACACAUGUUGGAUUUUUUGGUAGGCUUUGGUCCUAAGCCCUCCUCUCCAUGUACACACUUACCCCAGGUGAUGUCAUUUAGACCCAUGGUUUUAAAAUAGCAUCUUGAUGCUGUGACUCCCAAAUAUAUAUACAUCUAGAUCGGACCUUUCCAAAAGGUUCAGAUUCUAAUGUUCUGUUGCCUACCUGAUAUUCCCACCUGAUUCACAGGCAUCUCAAACUCAGUAUGGUCAAGCAGAGCUCUUUUUUUAUCCCCCCAGAGCUCUUGAUUUAUACUCUGCAGACUGGUUCCAUGCCGAGUUUUCUCCAUCUCAGGAAAUGCCACCAGCAUCCACCCAGUAAGUCAAACAUUUCAUCCCUCUCCUCUCAACUAUGCAUCCAGUCCAUAAGCAAGUCUUGGCAACUCUCCCCUGCCAAAAUAUAACUCAGACCCACCUGUUCCUCUCCAUAUUCAUUUCCAAGUCUAUGCCACCAUCAUCUUUCCCAUGGACUUCCUAAAGUAGCUCCUGGAAUAAUUUUCCAAGGUCCCCAUCUACAACCUUCUCCAGUCUGUUCUCCACAGCUACAAGUGAUCUUUCAAGUGUAAACUAGAUGACGCAGGGCCCCACGUUAAACCCUCAGGUGAGAUUCUGUUGCUCUUUGAAGGAAUCCGGAGCUCUGUUGUGGCCUAUCAGGCCUUAUAUGACCUGGUCUCUGCCCACUUCUCCAAGCUCAUCUCCCAUCGCUCCCGUCCCCAGUCCAACCACAGGCCUCCUUUCUGCUCUUUCUCCCCUGCGGGCCUUUGCACUGCCAUUGCCUCUGCCUGGACAGACCUUCUAGCAAUUUCAAUAACUAGUUCAUUCUUCUUCAAAAUUCAGUCCACGUAUCUCCUCCUUGACCACCUGAUUGAAGCACUGUCCCUCUCACACCAUCACUUGGCCCAUUUAUUUCCUUCUUAGAAAAGGUCACAGUCUGUAAUUAUAUCAUUUGUUAUCUAUCAUUGUCUUUUUCCCUUCCAGAAUUUAAGAGCCAUGAAGUCCAGAGACCAGAACUUUCCCCAGAGCCUACACAGGGACUGGAUUAUGUAAUAUACUCCGUAAAGGCUGAUCCUAUGCAGGGCCCUGGUUCUCAGAUUUGGCAGGUUCCAGGGCGUGGCCUGGACACCAGGAGUUUUAAAUGCUCCCGGGUGGUUUGAAUGGACACUGAGGUGGAGGACCACUGAAGUACAGCAACUGUGAAUGAAGAGCUGCUCUAGAACAACAUUUGUGUCUAUGCUCCUGAGGAUACCUAGCAUUCAGGGCUGAAAUACCCAGGUGAUGACCAACCCCCGAGGGGCGGCCCCUGUUGUAAGACAGUGACCAGGGCUGGGGGCUCGGAGACUGUGACCCCUAAGGAUUCAGGAACAGACUCUGUGCUGUGUAUUUGCUGUUGAGUGUGCUCACUCUCCAAGCCUUGAUAGCUGAGGUUUCGUGACACCGAAGAACCUCUGAUAAGAAAUCGGAGGACUGACUAGUUGUGGGAAGUUUAUGGCAUGAAAAAGAAAAGCCAUCUCUAGCUGAUGUCCCAGGUGAAUGUACUCGAGAAGACGAUGGGCUGAGUGCUUCCGGAGUCAACACUUCCAAAAGCAGCCGAGGCGGCUCCAUCUGUACGUAAGUGGUUGUAAGAUAGUGAGCGGCUGACGGCAGUCUCGGGGAAGCCCAGCUCUCAGGCCACGGAGGCUGUGUCUCCCCGCUUGAGGUGGCGCACGAUGAAAGUCCCCAGGGCCCCCAGGGGGAUGCACAUGGUAGAGGAGGCCACGAGCAGCCCAAUGAUGGCCAGUGCAUACGGGGGGUAGUCCUUGGUCACAAGCUGGCCCUGAAGAAGGAACCUGAGUGUCAGAAGAAAGAACCUCCCGUGCGGAGCCUUCUGAGGGCACCACCCCGCCGGGCCUCAGGCCCUCCAGCGGGAGGAAGAGAGCAUCUGCGGCCGGGCAUCCUUACACCCGGGGCCACCCCAGCUCUGCGUGCAGGUCACUAGUGGCUCUGCUGGGCAGACUAACUCCCCUUGUGCAUACUGUUUGGAGCUACCUGGAAAGAGCAACCAUGAGAAUAAUCCAAGGCUUAUGUUCAAGGCAGCAGCAGGGGACCUAAAUGUAGGGGCUACCUGUCCAGUACAGCAGCCAUCAGGCAUAGGUGGCCAUUGAGCACUGGGAAUGUGGCUGGUGAUGCUCAAGAAGUGAAUUUUAAAUUUGUUUAAAUUUCAAUAGCCACAUGUGGUUAUUAGCUUCUGUGUCCAGCAGCACAGCUCUCAUCUCAGGAGAAGUGAAGUGUUGAUGGACCUCAGGACUUAGUUGGAAGAAUGAUGGAUGUUUCCGUAAAUGCAAAACUGAUGAGAAACCAGUUGAGGCCCAAAAGCCACUAAAUGCUACACUACCUUUCCACAAAGGAACCAGAGGACAGCUAAAUCCGGGGAGCAGGUACUUGCUGUCAACCAAAGCACGUAUGGUUUGUAAACCAAAAUGCCACCCGGAGUGUGGCCGCGGGAACCAACCCACAGACUUCUGUUGCUCAUCUGUUACUCAUUGUGUUCUGUGUGACGAGUACAGGAAUUGGGAGGAAACAUAAAUGAUUUUAGCAGUUUGACAGCAUAUAAUCCUGUGUCUGCUGAAUCUGAUACAUAUUUGGUGCUUGUAUUUGCUCUACCUUUUUUUUUUUUUUUUUUUUAAAGGAAUUCACUGUUAAUUGCAUUUUCCAAAAGUAUCAGGCUGCACGCCCUGCUCGGCACCACUACCAGAACCAGACGCAGUGGCGCCUUCCCAGCCAUGGUGCAGCGUGGAGUGUGUGGACUGGAGCACGGGCCCUGUGCACCCUGUCUGCACACACACCAUAUGCUAAGAGGCAGCAUCUUCUAUCCACAGGGAAAGACAUCCAAAUUGGUAGCUGGAGAUGACCUUGCUGUCGGUCAGAGGGGUGAGGAUGGCGGCCGUGUUCCCCAGCAUGCUUCCAAUGCCCAGCAUCAGCAGCAUGAAGAAGUAGAGCACCGACCACAGCUGGGACACCUCCAUGUUUUUAAUGGCCUCUGUGUAGACGAUGAAGGCCAGGCCGGUGCCCUGGACGGCCUGCCCACAGGAUGAAGACACCAGUUACACACCCGGGGGACUCAGGACUUCUUCCCCAGGUGCUAAGCUACUUGGGGAACCUGAGAAUCAGCCACGAGAAGCCACAUUCUGAGGUUGGAUCUUCCACCUGCACACCAGCCCACUGAGGCACGUGAAAAGAUGUUCAGCGUCGCCAACGAGUAGAAAAAUGGAAAUCAAAAUGACGAGUUAUCCCCUGGCACCAAUCAUCAAAAAUUCUCCAAAGAAUAAAUGCAGCAGAGGACGUGGAGAAAGGGGAACCCAACAAUGCUGUUGGGAGGAAGGCCCUUUCAGCUCGGGCCUUUAGAGGCCCACUGCCCCCGCCUUGAGGCCUGGGGCCCACCGGAUGACCCAGGCUUACUUGUUCAAGCAGCUCUCGUAGUUGAAGGUGGCCUUGAAGCCAUAGAUGGAGAAGGUGACGACGCUGGCAAAGAUGGAGGUGGAACUGUUGAUGAUGGACACGAUGACGGCGUGCUUCUGGCAGUUGUUGGAGGGCUCGUUGUAGCUGGCGAAGGCGAUGAGGCUGCCGAACCCCAAGCCGAGCGAGAAGAAGAUCUGGGUGGCUGCGUUGAUCCAGGCCUUCGGGUUGGCCAGCUGCUCCAUCUGGAAAGCCAGCAGGGACAAGGCUGGAGAACCCCGGGUGGGAAUCCCAGACUCCCAGAUCAGCAGGGGGCAGGAGGCCCAGAGAGGGGAAGGAAAUUGCCCAUGGCACACAGCCAGCCAGAUGCAGGCCUGGGGCCCGAACCCAGCUCUCCCGGCCCCAUGCGUGCCCAGCCCGGUCCUCAGCAGAUAAAACGCAUCCUUUUGUCCUACCCUCCACUGCCUCUCACCCGCAGGAGGUGUGCAAUUGAAAAGUGUAGGAUAAAAUAAGUUUUAAAGGUACUGAGCCCCUGAUCCAUGACCCAGGCACUGCACGGGUCUGGGCCUCCAGAAAUGGCGGUGCUGGUGUCUAGGUCUGGGUUGUACCGCAGCACUAAUGUUAGGGGGCAUUUGGAAUGUGAUGGGGGCACUAAUGGCGGGGUGCUGCCAAAGUCAUUUUGUUUCCAGGGACCAGAUUUGCUAAAUGAAUAACUUGUCCUGCCCCAAAGGCAAUGGUGGCCUCCCUUGAUUAGCAUCAGUUAUGGGGUGACUGAGGAGCGGGGUGCCUGGGACUGGAUCACGGAGAGCCCUGCGGAGUAUGGAUGCACCCCUGUCGGGAGCGGGGUGCAUGGAGGUGCGAGCAGGAGGGUGAGCUGACUGGCGUGACGCUCCUGGUGAACAGCUUGGUCCACAGGCUGGAGGGAGGGUUUGGGGUGAGACUGGGGUGAAGGCCAGAUGUGGGGCUGGGGUAGCAAGAGGAGAGUGGACGGAAGAUGUAAUGCCCCAGAAUUAGCAGGGCAUAGGGACUGCCUGUCUGAGGACGGAAUCCACGCCCCUCCACUGCCUGGCGGGCUCACACCCACCUUCCCCGGGUCCACUACUGUUCCCCCAACCCUUGGUCUUCCCCCUUCCACCCAUCCUGGAAGGUGGCAGGAUGAAUGGGGGUGCCCUCGGGACCCCUCCCCUCCAGCCCAUACCUUGGGAGUGAACAUGUAUGCCAGGCCGUUGGUGGCUCCGUGGAGCGUGAGGCCCCUGACCAGGUAGAUGACGAGCACGCAGUAGGGCAGCAACGCAGUGAAGUACACCACCUGCGGGCAGCAGAGGGCAGGGUCAGCCUCCUGGAGAUGCAGUGACUACAGGACCCUUUUGCCCAGGGCAGACCCGCCAUCCCCACAAAAAAACCAUGGCACUGUCUUGGCUGUUCGGGCUACUGAUAGCUGGAAAGGUAUCGAGAGUCUUGGUCAGGCACAGGUUCCGAGUUUGGGAAACUGGGUGGUGGGAUGUGGAUGCCCACGUGUGUGACCACCAGGAAAUCUCUUAUGUAGUGGAGAAGAGGGAACAGGUCCUAGAGACCUCUGUCCUCCACCCUCCCUUCAACCCGAACUUCUUCCAGAAAGGAUUUGAGGCAGCCCACAAAAAUACAUCAUCACAUUAACAUGUUAAAACUGCUAGAUAAAGAUAUCUGUGUAAAAAGAAAAUGUGGGCAAUCCAGUAAGAUAAGCCCAAAGAAAAAGGCAGCCCACAGAAUAGGUGUGUGAGGUGCUACCCAGUUUCUGAGCCAGAUCGAUCUCUGAGCUUCCUCGUGGCCCAAGCAAAGCAGGAAGCACAAUCACAAGAUUUAUAUUGUCUCUGAAAG
Delphinapterus leucas (beluga whale) is the source of this 7764-nucleotide non-coding RNA. Lineage: Eukaryota; Metazoa; Chordata; Mammalia; Artiodactyla; Monodontidae. The record is from RefSeq and is a predicted model, not a curated record.